This 458-nucleotide ribosomal RNA is filed under the name uncultured bacterium. RNAcentral's name for it is "bacterial SSU rRNA". It matches the Rfam family "Bacterial small subunit ribosomal RNA", at positions 28 to 507 of the family's 1533-position model. The record is from RNAcentral.
GAUGAACGUUGGCGGUGUGCCUAAUACAUGCAAGUCGAACGGAGAUUGUAGCAAUACGGUCUUAGUGGCGAACGGGUGAGUAACGCGUUGGUGAUCUGCCUCGAAGUGUGGAAUAACGAUUCGAAAGAAUCGCUAAUACCGCAUAGUCUCUCUUUUUCCAGAAAUUUGAGAGUAAAGGAUUUAUUCGCUUUGAGAGGAGCCUGCGUCCCAUCAGCUAGUUGGUAAGGUAAUGGCCUACCAAGGCGAUGACGGGUAGGGGACCUGAGAGGGUGGCCCCCCACAAUGGAACUGAAACACGGUCCAUACACCUACGGGUGGCAGCAGUAGGGAAUAUUAGAAAUGGACGAAAGUCUGAUCUAGCAACACCGCGUGUGCGAAGAAGGCCUUCGGUUGUAAAGCACUUUUUGGAAGGAUUAGGAAGGAAUGUACUUCCAGAAUAAGUCUCGGCUAACUACGUG